This 500-nucleotide ribosomal RNA is filed under the name uncultured bacterium. RNAcentral describes it as "partial 16S ribosomal RNA". It matches the Rfam family "Bacterial small subunit ribosomal RNA", at positions 30 to 523 of the family's 1533-position model. The record is from RNAcentral.
AUUGAACGCUGGCGGAAUGCUAUACACAUGCAAGUCGAACGGCAGCACGGACUUCGGUCUGGUGGCGAGUGGCGAACGGGUGAGUAAUGUAUCGGAACGUGCCCAGUCGUGGGGGAUAACGUAGUGAAAAUUACGCUAAUACCGCAUACGAUCUAUGGAUGAAAGCGGGGGAUCGCAAGACCUCGCGCGAUUGGAGCGGCCGAUAUCAGAUUAGGUAGUUGGUGGGGUAAAGGCCCACCAAGCCAACGAUCUGUAGCUGGUCUGAGAGGACGACCAGCCACACUGGAACUGAGACACGGUCCAGACUCCUACGGGAGGCAGCAGUGGGGAAUUUUGGACAAUGGGCGAAAGCCUGAUCCAGCCAUUCCGCGUGCAGGAUGAAGGCCCUCGGGUUGUAGACUGCUUUUGUACAGAACGAAAAGGCUUCUACUAAUACUAGGAGCUCAUGACGGUACUGUAAGAAUAAGCACCGGCUAACUACGUGCCAGCCGCCGCGGUAA